UUGUUUUUGUCCCCAUUAUUGGGUAAUUAGAUAUACUCUUCCCCCAUUUUGCUUUUUCUCUCUAAAAUAAGUUGGAAACCCACUCGUUAUAUUUCCUUUAAACAAACAAACAUAAUAGAUCCAAUAAAAAAGCAAAACCCCGAACCAAUCGUUGUCGGGAUCAGAUCGGCCACCAAAUCCGUGAGGUUUUUGAUUUAUUCAAAACCGGUCCUGAUUGAACAAGUUGGACCAAUUAAAAAAAAAAAAUUUAUAUAAUAGCAUAAAAAUAUAAAAUACAUUAAAAAUUGUCUCAACUUUAUUUAAAUGAUAUUAAAACCAAUACAACCAAAACUAAUCAAAUCAAUAAUUUUAUUUGUUUUCGAUCGAACUCAAUUUUUACGUCUAACCCCUAAUAGAUAGUGGGACAGAAGUGACGCGUUGAUAAGAUAGAUCGAACAUAGAUUCAACCCUCUCAUUGAAAGUUGAGAAAAAGUAGAGUAAAGCAACCAUAGAAACUUCAGAGGAGGAGUCACCGUACAUACAAUACCCAACAUAUUUGAAAGCAUCGCAAUCGCCAAUACUUCGAUACCAAUUGUGAAUGGUCAUUAGCUGUCUUCUUCUUCUUCUUGGAAAUUGACGGUGAGGAUGAGAUCUGGGGCACUCGAAGAGGAAAGUUGGUUAGUAAAUAAUUAAUAUCUCUGAUUUUGUGGUUUGCUUUGGAGCGAGUAAAUCAAUGAUGAUUUGUUCGACAAUUAAGUAUUAGUAACUUAAUUUUAAGAGAUUUAAUAUGUGUUUAUAAAGAAAGGCAACACCCUUUGUAGUGAGGAGAGAUUGUCGACAUUCUUUUUUAUGGGGUAAAUAAUUGUCG
Molecule: long non-coding RNA, 847 nt
Filed under: Amborella trichopoda
Lineage: Eukaryota; Viridiplantae; Streptophyta; Magnoliopsida; Amborellales; Amborellaceae
Description: long non-coding RNA (ATRI_LNC005357)
Source: RNAcentral